AUGUCGAUACCACAAUCGAUGAGGAUGGCUUUCCAGUAUAUAGAAGGCGCGACAAUGGAAGGACGAUCAAAAAGGGAGGAGCAAUGCUCGACAACAGAUUUUGGAGAGCGGUAUUAUAUGAGAAUGCUUCUAAACACAAAGAAAGGAUGCACAUCAUUUCAAAAUGUGGCUGAAUUUGCAGAAUGGAUAUUACAAAUUGGCGACGGAAAAAGAACAAACGAUGAAGGGGAUGAUUGGGUAAAAAUACCUAAAGACAUAAUUCUACAUAAAGGAGAAGACCCCAAAGAAGAGAUAGUCAAAAGCACGUACCAAAACUUGCAACAAAACUACCGUGACCGUGAAUUUCUCGAAGAAAGAGCAAUACUAUGUCCAAGGAAUGAAACAAUUGAGAAGAUAAAUGACUACAUAAUGAGCCAAAUACAAGGGGAAGAGGUGACAUACCUAAGCUUGGACACUGUAUGCAAGGCAACAAUGAAGUACAACACAAUGGAGAAUAUGUGUCCAACAGAGUUUCUUAACAACAUGACCAUCCCAGGAAUUCCAAACCACGAGCUAAAACUGAAGGUAGGUUUGCCGGUGAUGCUCCUACGCAACAUCAAUCAAGCAGCAGGUUUAUGCAAUGGUACAAGAAUGACUAUUACACAGCUGGGAAACAGGUACAUUGAGGCACAAAUAAUCACAGGAACACAUGUCGAUGACAAGGUAUACAUACCUAAAAUCGUUAUGUCACCAAGCGACUCAAAGUGGCCCUUCGUGCUGAAAAGAAGGCAAUAUCCUCUAUCAGUUUGUUUUGCAAUGACAAUAAAUAAAAGCCAAGGUCAAUCCCUAAACAUGGUGGGUCUACAGCCUAGGCAAGUCUUCUGCCAUGGGCAACUAUAUGUGGCACUAUCAAGAGUCACAAGCAGAGAAGGAUUAAAGGUGCUGAUUGACGACACGGAGUGCCCAAGCGAAGAUAGCGCAAAGAAUAUAGUAUACAAAGAGAUUUUCUAUUUUUUUGUUACUCAAGUAAAUAAUAUAUUACAAGUUCAUCCAUCAUAA
This 1038-nucleotide ribosomal RNA is filed under the name Triticum aestivum (bread wheat). RNAcentral describes it as "partial small subunit ribosomal RNA". The record is from RNAcentral. Lineage: Eukaryota; Viridiplantae; Streptophyta; Magnoliopsida; Poales; Poaceae.